CUUGGGAGAGCACAGUUGGCAAGGUCAUGGUGCUGAUAAUGCCAAGGUUGUGGGUUCAAUUCCUGACUUUCAGGG
This is a non-coding RNA of Podarcis lilfordi (Lilford's wall lizard), 75 nucleotides long. Lineage: Eukaryota; Metazoa; Chordata; Lepidosauria; Squamata; Lacertidae. The record is from the annotation of a GenBank genome assembly.